Molecule: ribosomal RNA, 628 nt
Filed under: uncultured bacterium
Lineage: Bacteria
Description: bacterial SSU rRNA
Rfam family: Bacterial small subunit ribosomal RNA
Source: RNAcentral
GUAUUGCAUGGUACUGGUACCAAAGAUUUAUCGCUGAGAGAUGGCCUCGCGUCUGAUUAGCUAGUUGGUAGGGUAACGGCCUAUCAAGGCGACGAUCAGUAGCCGGACUGAGAGGUUGGCCGGCCACAUUGGGACUGAGAUACGGCCCAGACUCCUACGGGAGGCAGCAGUGGGGAAUAUUGGGCAAUGGGCGCAAGCCUGACCCAGCAACGCCGCGUGAAGGAAGAAGGCCUUCGGGUUGUAAACUUCUUUUGACAGGGAAGAGCAGAAGACGGUGCCUGUCGAAUAAGCCACGGCUAACUACGUGCCAGCAGCCGCGGUAAUACGUAGGUGGCAAGCGUUGUCCGGAUUUACUGGGUGUAAAGGGCGUGUAGCCGGGCUGACAAGUCAGAUGUGAAAUCCGGGGGCUCAGCCCCCGAACUGCAUUUGAAACUGUUGGUCUUGAGUAUCGGAGAGGCAGGCGGAAUUCCUAGUGUAGCGGUGAAAUGCGCAGAUAUUAGGAGGAACACCAGUGGCGAAGGCGGCCUGCUGGACGACAACUGACGGUGAGGCGCGAAAGCGUGGGGAGCAAACAGAAUUAGAUACCCUGGUAGUCCACGCUGUAAACGAUGGAUACUAGGUGUGCGGG